RNAcentral lists this ribosomal RNA (253 nucleotides) under uncultured bacterium. Its description in RNAcentral is "partial 16S ribosomal RNA". It matches the Rfam family "Bacterial small subunit ribosomal RNA", at positions 524 to 776 of the family's 1533-position model. The record is from RNAcentral.
UACAGAGGGUGCGAGCGUUAAUCGGAAUCACUGGGCGUAAAGGGCGCGUAGGCGGCUUUAUAAGUCGGGGGUGAAAGCCUGUGGCUCAACCACAGAAUUGCCUUCGAUACUGUAGAGCUUGAGACCGGAAGAGGUAAGUGGAACUGCGAGUGUAGAGGUGAAAUUCGUAGAUAUUCGCAAGAACACCAGUGGCGAAGGCGGCUUACUGGUCCGGUUCUGACGCUGAGGCGCGAAAGCGUGGGGAGCAAACAGG